This 185-nucleotide non-coding RNA is filed under the name Planctomycetes bacterium RBG_13_44_8b. RNAcentral's name for it is "6S RNA". It matches the Rfam family "6S / SsrS RNA". Rfam says of the family: E. coli 6S RNA was the first non coding RNA to be sequenced, but its function was unknown until recently. It consists of 184 nucleotides that fold into an extended hairpin structure with a large single-stranded internal bulge. The 6S RNA specifically associates with RNA polymerase holoenzyme containing the sigma70 specificity factor. The record is from RNAcentral. Lineage: Bacteria; Pseudomonadati; Planctomycetota.
UUUCCCCUGCUGUGUUUGACAGGAAAGUUCAUAUUUGAAGAACCGAUAAACCUUAUUCAGGGAAGUUAGGACCCCGCGGCUCAAAAAAGCCUCUUUAAGGGGACUUUUGGACGCGGUAAGCCGACUGCCCACCUUGAAAUACAGGGUUCUUUAAAUUGCCUUCCAUCGGCAUCGGCGGAGGUUAC